UUUUUUUUAAAAAAAAAAAAAAUGGUCUCAUUCAAUUCCAUCUCUUGGCAUUCUUUAGUCCUUUUGAUUUAGCUUUAGCUUGCUGAAAUGCCUGCAUCUUCUGUUUCUUUCGUGCUUCCUUCUCGGCCUUAGACAUCUUGGAUUUGGCUUUAAGCUUAGGAGCUUUUUCUUCAAGCUCUGCCUCACGUUCUAGCUCUCUUUCCCUGGCAUCCAGAUUCUUUUCCAGAUAAUAAUUGUAAUCACCCGCAUAAUCCUGUAAAUUUCCGUCUUUAACUUCAAUGACUCUAUUUACAAUUUGCUUUAUAAAGUAUCGAUCAUGAGAAACAGUGAUGACAGUGCCUCUGUAUUCAGUUAUUGCCUCCUCAAGCAUCUCUUUUGAA
This 380-nucleotide unclassified non-coding RNA is filed under the name Hevea brasiliensis (rubber tree). Lineage: Eukaryota; Viridiplantae; Streptophyta; Magnoliopsida; Malpighiales; Euphorbiaceae. The record is from RNAcentral.